RNAcentral lists this unclassified non-coding RNA (329 nucleotides) under soil metagenome. Its description in RNAcentral is "partial contains 5.8S ribosomal RNA, internal transcribed spacer 2, and large subunit ribosomal RNA". The stretch from base 1 to 120 matches the Rfam family "5.8S ribosomal RNA", at positions 35 to 154 of the family's 154-position model. The record is from RNAcentral.
GAUGAAGAACGCAGCGAAAUGCGAUAAGUAAUGUGAAUUGCAGAAUUCAGUGAAUCAUCGAAUCUUUGAACGCACAUUGCGCCCCUUGGUAUUCCGAGGGGCAUGCCUGUUCGAGCGUCAUUAUAACCCCUCAAGCUCAGCUUGGUGUUGGGGCCUGCUGCACUGGCAGCCCUUAAAAUCAGUGGCGGCGCCAUCUGGCUCUAAGCGUAGUAAUUCUUCUCGCUAUGGAGUCCUGGUGGAUGCUUGCCAUCAACCCCCAAUUUUUCUAUGGUUGACCUCGGAUCAGGUAGGGAUACCCGCUGAACUUAAGCAUAUCAAUAAGCGGAUGA